Molecule: ribosomal RNA, 253 nt
Filed under: uncultured bacterium
Lineage: Bacteria
Description: partial 16S ribosomal RNA
Rfam family: Bacterial small subunit ribosomal RNA
Source: RNAcentral
UACGUAGGGUGCAAGCGUUGUCCGGAAUUAUUGGGCGUAAAGAGCUCGUAGGCGGUUUGUCGCGUCUGCUGUGAAAUCCCAGGGCUUAACCCUGGGCCUGCAGUGGGUACGGGCAAACUAGAGUGCGGUAGGGGAGAUCGGAAUUCCUGGUGUAGCGGUGAAAUGCGCAGAUAUCAGGAGGAACACCAAUGGCGAAGGCAGCUCGCUGGGACGGUACUGACGCUGAGACGCGAAAGCGUGGGGAGCAAACAGG